Molecule: ribosomal RNA, 889 nt
Filed under: Asteroschema ajax
Lineage: Eukaryota; Metazoa; Echinodermata; Ophiuroidea; Euryalida; Asteroschematidae
Description: eukaryotic LSU rRNA
Rfam family: Eukaryotic large subunit ribosomal RNA
Source: RNAcentral
UGCCGAAUCAACUAGCCCUGAAAAUGGAUGGCGCUGAGCGUGACGCUCAUACCCGGCCGUCGGCGGCAGUGCAGUACGCCCCGACGAGUAGGAGGGACGCCGUGGUGUGCAACGAAGCGACGGCCGAGAGGCCGCGCGGAGCCGCCUCGGGCGCAGAUCUUGGUGGUAGUAGCAAAUACUCAAGUGAGAGCCUUGAGGGCCGAGUCGUGGAGAAGGGUUCCAUGUGAACAGCCGUUGCACAUGGGUCAGUCGAUCCUAAGGUCUAGGGUAGUUCCGCUCUGAGCGGCGGCGCGCGCCCACCUUGCUGUGGGUAAGCGCUCCCUGGUCGAAAGGGAAUCGGGUCAAUAUUCCCGAACCUGAAGGUGGAGCCCGCCGCCAAUAGGCGGUCAGAGCUGUAAAGCUAUAGAGCCCGGAGACGCUGACCGGAGCCCCGGGAAGAGUUGUCUUUUCUUUGUAAGGGGCGUGGAUCCCUGAAACCGACUGGAUCGGAGAGAGGGACCGCGGCCCCGUAGAGCGCCGCGUCUGGAGCGGCGUCCGGAGUUGCACCGGUCGGCCCUUGAAAAUCCGGGGGGCGAGUGUGGACUCUCACCUCAGAUCGUACCCAUAACCGCAGCAGGUCUCCAAGGUGAACAGCCUCUGGUCAAUAGAACAAUGUAGGUAAGGGAAGUCGGCAAGCCGGAUCCGUAACUUCGGGAUAAGGAUUGGCUCUGAGGACUGGGUCGGUCGGGCCGGGGCUGGAAGCAGGCACGGACCCUCAGCGUGACUGGGCGAGCCGGUCGAAGCCCGCUUCGCGGCGGUGCCGAGACUGGCGAACCCGGACUUUGCAUUGGGUCCGGCUCGUGGACCGUCCUGGCUGCGCGGCAGCCUUGUGUUGUCGCCUCGGCCGGCG